GUGGAAUAUCCUUUGAACUGCUCCACCAAUCUAGUGAAUCUAGAGAUAGAUCCACCGUUUUGGUGUAUCAAUCUACGGUGGAGCUGUGGAAGUGUGUGGCUAGCAAAACUGAAUCUAAAUCAUUUUUGAUGAAUUUAGAGCCGGUGGAGCUCUAGCAAACACAUGCACAGCAUGCACGACGCCAAUUUGGAGGUAGAUUGGGAGGAGCUGCUCCGAGGAAGCUAGAAGCAGAGAUUGAGGACGCCUUGACAGGG
Molecule: long non-coding RNA, 254 nt
Filed under: Sorghum bicolor (sorghum)
Lineage: Eukaryota; Viridiplantae; Streptophyta; Magnoliopsida; Poales; Poaceae
Description: long non-coding RNA (SBIC_LNC016688)
Source: RNAcentral